Molecule: ribosomal RNA, 236 nt
Filed under: uncultured Staphylococcus sp.
Lineage: Bacteria; Bacillati; Bacillota; Bacilli; Caryophanales; Staphylococcaceae
Description: partial 16S ribosomal RNA
Rfam family: Bacterial small subunit ribosomal RNA
Source: RNAcentral
ACGGUAGUAACACGUGGAUAACCUACCUAUAAGACUGGGAUAACUUCGGGAAACCGUAGCUAAUACCGGAUAAUAUUUUGAACCGCAUGGUUCAAAAGUGAAAGACGGUCUUGCUGUCACUUAUAGAUGGAUCCGCGCUGCAUUAGCUAGUUGGUAAGGUAACGGCUUACCAAGGCAACGAUGCAUAGCCGACCUGAGAGGGUGAUCGGCCACACUGGAACUGAGACACGGUCCAG